AACGUAGGAGGCAAGCGUUAUCCGGAGUUACUGGGCGUAAAGCGCGUGCAGGUGGUUGUACAAGUUCGGUGUGAAAGCGCCCGGCUCAACUGGGCGAGGACAUCGAAGACUGUGGGACUCGAGGCGGGUAGAGGGGCGUAGAAUUCCGGGUGUAGCGGUGAAAUGUGUAGAGAUCCGGAGGAAUACCAGUGGUGAAGACGGCGCCCUGGGCCCGACCUGACACUGAAACGCGAAAGCGUGGGGAGCGAACGGG
Molecule: ribosomal RNA, 253 nt
Filed under: uncultured bacterium
Lineage: Bacteria
Description: partial 16S ribosomal RNA
Rfam family: Bacterial small subunit ribosomal RNA
Source: RNAcentral